RNAcentral lists this ribosomal RNA (253 nucleotides) under uncultured bacterium. RNAcentral's name for it is "partial 16S ribosomal RNA". It matches the Rfam family "Bacterial small subunit ribosomal RNA", at positions 524 to 776 of the family's 1533-position model. The record is from RNAcentral.
GACGAACCGUCCGAACGUUAUUCGGAAUCACUGGGCUUAAAGGGUGCGUAGGCGGCGCGGAAAGUUGGGUGUGAAAUCCCUCGGCUCAACCGAGGAACUGCGCCCAAUACUACCGUGCUCGAGGGAGAUAGAGGUGAGCGGAACUUAGGGUGGAGCGGUGAAAUGCGUUGAUAUCCUAAGGAACACCGGUGGCGAAAGCGGCUCACUGGAUCUCUUCUGACGCUGAGGCACGAAAGCUAGGGUAGCGAACGGG